This 353-nucleotide ribosomal RNA is filed under the name fungal sp. CL138. RNAcentral's name for it is "LSU rRNA". It matches the Rfam family "Eukaryotic large subunit ribosomal RNA", at positions 331 to 670 of the family's 3401-position model. The record is from RNAcentral. Lineage: Eukaryota; Fungi.
AGACCGAUAGCGAACAAGUACCGUGAGGGAAAGAUGAAAAGCACUUUGGAAAGAGAGUUAAACAGUACGUGAAAUUGUUGAAAGGGAAACGCUUGAAGUCAGUCGCGUCUUCUAGGACUCAGCCUUACUUCGGUUAGGUGUACUUCCUGGUUUGACGGGUCAACAUCGAUUUUGAUCGACGGAUAAAGGAGAAGGGAAUGUGGCACCUUCGGGUGUGUUAUAGCCCUCUUCGUAUACGUCGAUUGGGAUCGAGGACUGCAGCACGCCCUUGUGGCCGGGGGUUCGCCCUACGUAUCGUGCUUAGGAUGUUGACAUAAUGGCUUUAAGCGACCCGUCUUGAAACACGGACCAAG